RNAcentral lists this ribosomal RNA (394 nucleotides) under uncultured bacterium. RNAcentral describes it as "partial 16S ribosomal RNA". It matches the Rfam family "Bacterial small subunit ribosomal RNA", at positions 338 to 730 of the family's 1533-position model. The record is from RNAcentral.
CCUACGGGUGGCAGCAGUGAGGAAUAUUGGUCAAUGGACGAGAGUCUGAACCAGCCAAGUAGCGUGAAGGAUGACUGCCCUAUGGGUUGUAAACUUCUUUUAUAUGGGAAUAAAAUGUUCUACGCGUGGGUGUCUGUAUGUAUCAUAUGAAUAAGGAUCGGCUAACUCCGUGCCAGCAGCCGCGGUAAUACGGAGGAUUCGAGCGUUAUCCGGAUUUAUUGGGUUUAAAGGGUGCGUAGGCGGACUUUUAAGUUAGCGGUAAAAUCUCCGGGCUCAACUCGGGCCGGCCGUUGAAACUGGGGAGCUUGAGUGGGCGAGAAGUAUGCGGAAUGCGUGGUGUAGCGGUGAAAUGCAUAGAUAUCACACAGAACUCCGAUUGCGAAGGCAGCAUACC